UAGCUGGGUGUUGGUGACCCGAUGGGUAUGGCUAUCACUCACGCGCUGGCCUCUGGCAUGGGCGGAAUGCGAACCACUGGAGAUCUGGUGGCUCGUAUGC
Regulatory RNA element from Syntrophaceticus schinkii, 100 nucleotides. It matches the Rfam family "Pyrrolysine insertion sequence mtbB". NCBI's taxonomy places the organism in Bacteria, Bacillati, Bacillota, Clostridia, Thermoanaerobacterales, Thermoanaerobacterales Family III. Incertae Sedis. The record is from Rfam.